GUUAGGUCGUACCUAGGCGCAUCAUUAAACAGGCUAAUGGAAUGGAGAAUGUUGGGUAGGUUAGGUCGUACCUAGGCGCAUCAUUAAACAGGCUAAUGGAAUGGAGAAUGUUGGGUAGGUUAGGUCGUACCUAGGCGCAUCAUUAAACAGGCUAAUGGAAUGGAGAAUGUUGGGUAGGUUAGGUCGUACCUAGGCGCAUCAUUAAACAGGCUAAUGGAAUGGAGAAUGUUGGGUAGGUUAGGUCGUACCUAGGCGCAUCAUUAAACAGGCUAAUGGAAUGGAGAAUGUUGGGUAGGUUAGGUCGUACCUAGGCGCAUCAUUAAACAGGCUAAUGGAAUGGAGAAUGUUGGGUAGGUUAGGUCGUACCUAGGCGCAUCAUUAAACAGGCUAAUGGAAUGGAGAAUGUUGGGUAGGUUAGGUCGUACCUAGGCGCAUCAUUAAACAGGCUAAUGGAAUGGAGAAUGUUGGGUAGGUUAGAUAGGAUACGGGAGUGAAAGGGAGAAAACAUUUCGCUUGGAUGCAGGUAUGGAACCUCUUGUAGCAGGCUAAAUUAUGUAGCUAAUAUUAACAUGAAAUCAUACAUUUAAAAAAUGUGUGAUUAAUAUCAAUGGCAACUGUUUGAUUAGGCAGCACCUCAUAGCGAAAUAAUAUCAACACGUAGGCUAGCCGACAGUCUGAAAUUAAAAUAGCAGCCAUAUCAUUUUUCCUUUGCUAUCACAAUUAUUCUUUAUCCGUGAGUCUAUAUAUUGAUACUUAACACAAGCAAACUGUCAAGGAAGUCAUAGCCUACCUGCUCGAUUAUGAUCGCUUGAACGAAAAUCGAGAA
This is a long non-coding RNA of Oncorhynchus keta (chum salmon), 826 nucleotides long. RefSeq lists it as uncharacterized. Lineage: Eukaryota; Metazoa; Chordata; Actinopteri; Salmoniformes; Salmonidae. The record is from RefSeq and is a predicted model, not a curated record. The transcript has 3 exons.